Balaenoptera musculus (blue whale) is the source of this 477-nucleotide long non-coding RNA. RefSeq lists it as uncharacterized. The record is from RefSeq and is a predicted model, not a curated record. NCBI's taxonomy places the organism in Eukaryota, Metazoa, Chordata, Mammalia, Artiodactyla, Balaenopteridae. The transcript has 3 exons.
GUCAGAGAGAGGAACCCCAGAGAAAGUCAGGCAGACAGAGAGGGACAGACACCCGGAGCGACAGAGGAUAAGAGAUGGAGAGAGACACCCCCAGAGGGGAAAAAGUGGUCGGAGAGACACACAGAGGGAAACGGACAGAAAGAGACAAAAACAGACUGACAGAGACAGUGACAGAGACACCUAGGGCACAGGGAGAGAUAAAGACAGAGACGGGAGAGAGAGAGAGAAAUGGAGACCCACAGAGAUGGUAGGAUUGGAGGCAGAGCCCCUGGCCCCAGAGGUGGAAGGCGCAGACAAACAGCCGUGGGGGCCUGGCUGGUGGAGAAGCUGCCUACCUUGGACCUGAGGAUAUUUCAGCAGGAGCAGGAGAGUGUAGCGAAUCGUGGUGCUGACUGUCACCGUCCCGGCGAACAACAGGGGACACAGGUUCGAGCCCUGGUCCGGGAAGAUCCCACGUGCCGCGGAGCAACUAAGCCC